UUGGUUUCAAGCCAUCUUUGCAGUCAUACUUCCAGUGGGGCUGUGGAUUGACCACAUACAACCACCUUGCAGCCUUUUUGCACACUUUCGAGAGCCCAAUCUUGCUGAACUAGGGCAAAAAUUUCAACCAACUUAAGGUUGCAACCCCUUGGUUCCCCAAGCCGAAAACAUGUAGCACCUCUGCAAGUCAUUCACCUCCCAAUUCCUUCCA
Molecule: long non-coding RNA, 211 nt
Filed under: Phoenix dactylifera (date palm)
Lineage: Eukaryota; Viridiplantae; Streptophyta; Magnoliopsida; Arecales; Arecaceae
Description: long non-coding RNA (PDAC_LNC017703)
Source: RNAcentral